This is a ribosomal RNA of 513 nucleotides. The stretch from base 145 to 298 matches the Rfam family "5.8S ribosomal RNA".
AUACAACUCAUCAACCCUGUGAACAUACCUAAAACGUUGCCUCGGCGGGAACAGACGGCCCCGUAACACGGGCCGCCCCCGCCAGAGGACCCCCUAACUCUGUUUCUAUAAUGUUUCUUCUGAGUAAACAAGCAAAUAAAUUAAAACUUUCAACAACGGAUCUCUUGGCUCUGGCAUCGAUGAAGAACGCAGCGAAAUGCGAUAAGUAAUGUGAAUUGCAGAAUUCAGUGAAUCAUCGAAUCUUUGAACGCACAUUGCGCCCGCCAGUAUUCUGGCGGGCAUGCCUGUUCGAGCGUCAUUACAACCCUCAGGCCCCCGGGCCUGGCGUUGGGGAUCGGCGGAAGCCCCCUGCGGGCACAACGCCGUCCCCCAAAUACAGUGGCGGUCCCGCCGCAGCUUCCAUUGCGUAGUAGCUAACACCUCGCAACUGGAGAGCGGCGCGGCCACGCCGUAAAACACCCAACUUCUGAAUGUUGACCUCGAAUCAGGUAGGAAUACCCGCUGAACUUAAGC